UCUUACCCACUCACACCAAAUCACUUCUCAAAAUCACAUAAUCUCAUAAUCGCUUCUCUCGUAAUCACUUAUCACAAUCAUUCUUCACUUCUCACAAUCUCAUCUCAGAAUCACUUCUCACUUCUCACAGAAUCAUUUCUCACAAUCGAUUAUUCACUUCAUCUCAGAAUCACAUCUCAUAAUCGAUUCUUCACUUCAUCUCAGAAUCACAUCUCAUAAUCGAUUCUUCACUUCUCACAAUCUCAGAAUCACUUCUCACUUCUCUUCACGAAUUUGCGGUAUGUAGUUCCUUUGCGUUUUUAUUUUGCUCUAAUUUGAUAUUUCUAGGUUAAGUUGAUACUGAUUUAAUGCAAUUGACAUUUUUUAGGUUAAGAUGAUUCUGAUUUGAUUUUAAGUUGAUUCUACUUGUUUUUUGUGGAUUAGUAGAAAAUGAUAUGAAAUCGAACGAGACUUGUAAUAAUUCUGAACUGAUUUCAUGUUGUUUUUGUUUGUUUUGUUGGUUUAUUUGUGCUUAUGGAAUCUCACGCGCUUCUGAUUUCACCGCUCAUCAGAUAUGCUUCAUUGCAAUCACUGUGAUAAGAAUAAGAUAUGAAAUAAGAAUAAGAAUUAUGAUUUUAAGUUUUGCUAAAUUAGAUUAGAUUUUUGGACUAAUUUCAAUUAUUUUUUUCUGUAUUUGAUGUUGGUUAAUUUGUGGAUGAUUUAUCUGCCGGUUCUUCGAUGAGCAUUUGAGUUGACUUUCUGUAUCUCUCGAAUCAGGU
This 758-nucleotide long non-coding RNA is filed under the name Medicago truncatula (barrel medic). RNAcentral describes it as "long non-coding RNA (MTRU_LNC006197)". The record is from RNAcentral. Lineage: Eukaryota; Viridiplantae; Streptophyta; Magnoliopsida; Fabales; Fabaceae.